GUUCCUCUCAGGGAGAAUGGGAGUUUUGUUUGGCAGUGUUUGGCAAGGAAUCAAAGUGGGGAGGUAGUCUACAGAAUCAUGAAAUCAAGCAUUGCAUGACUAUCACCCAAAUUGCCGAGUGUGAAAGGUUAACUCGCUUCUGUUAGCUGAGAAGAAUGAAGACUCUUUCAAAUUGUGAAGAUGCUUAUUUUUAUUCUGAUCUACAAGGAUGUUUUAUGAAACAAAGCUGCCGACACUGAGGAUGAGAGAUGCAGAAGGGCUGAGGUUAGAACUUCUAGGCACAGGCAAGCAAAUCUGAGGUUCAGCUGUGAAAAAUGGACCUUUUCGGCCUUCAGUUUCCCCACUACUGUGCAUUUCAUCAGUUUCUGGUUAUAACAAGGAGAAACUCUGUCUCUAGGAUCGAUAUCUCUUUUUUAAAUGUUGGCACUUUCCUUCAUGGUUAAAAUAUAUUUAUUCAAGAUAUUUCCUUUAGGAAUAAUUCCGAGUGGAAAGGAGUCAAAGGGUGGGAAAUUGUGUGUCUAACAUUGGUUUUAGUGUGAGCUAUUCUCAAGGUGGUAAGAACAGCAACAGAGGGGGAAAAAAUGGUAGCAUUCACCUGAUGUUUUGUGGAUGCACAUCACAUUGUGUUACUGGAGGAAAAAAUGCAAAUGAUAACAAAUGUUGUAUGCAACAAUGUUUUGUGUUUAUAAAAAUGUAUUAAUUCCCUUUUCCACAAAUGAGGCUAAAAUGCA
Long non-coding RNA from Mauremys mutica (yellowpond turtle), 731 nucleotides. RefSeq lists it as uncharacterized. The transcript has 3 exons. The record is from RefSeq and is a predicted model, not a curated record. NCBI's taxonomy places the organism in Eukaryota, Metazoa, Chordata, Testudines, Geoemydidae.